Long non-coding RNA from Triticum dicoccoides, 5359 nucleotides. RefSeq lists it as uncharacterized. NCBI's taxonomy places the organism in Eukaryota, Viridiplantae, Streptophyta, Magnoliopsida, Poales, Poaceae. The transcript has 6 exons. The record is from RefSeq and is a predicted model, not a curated record.
AGGUUAACCAGCGACAAAAAAAACCUAAACCUAUCGCCCGCUCCCUCGCGCCCCUGUUGCUCCCUCCUCGGUCCCGAUCUGGAUCGAGGGGACGAGGAGCUCCUGCCUCCCCGUCGGCCGGCCUCCUCCUCGCCCCGCCGCUGCGUCCGGCGCCGCCACGGCCUCUGGAGCCAGGGAAGCCAUGGCCUGAGCUUGGCCUCGAGGUCCCCGCCGCCGUCUCCUGCAGCUUCUGCCCCGCCGCCUCACCGCCCGAGCUCGCUGUCGCACCAACCUCGUGUCGAGCAUCCUACCCAUUGGCAGACAGAGAUCAUCGAUGGUUCCGUGUGGCCUUAACCCUGCACCCAUGCCCGCAAUUCUUCUACCUCCUCUCAGGAUGGGGAUUGCGAGUUAGGAUGUAAUUUUCCUGUUAAAGUGACACUCCAUGGUAUGUUUGCUUUGAGAAAUUUCUUCCUAUUUUUCUUUUUCUACAAUGUAGAGCACAGUUUAGACAUGUUUCCUUUCUUAAAUCCACCUAUUCCUGAAACUUUAUAUUGAUAUGGUCUUGGUGGUCUCUGGUUUUUGUAAUUAAUCCGAAGGUCUACCUUUCUGGUUUUAAUUACUUAUGUGUGUAUAGAUGCCCAUCUUUCCACAACGUGUUGUUCUUGCAGGAAUUCCUGUUAUAUCAAUGAAAAUCUUACAAGGUAAAAUGAUGGACCUGAAUGGUUCAGACAGACAUAUACUGCAUCAAUGGAAACAAGGGAUGUUCUGUCAAUCUGAUCUUAGUUCUACAGACCUCAGAGUUCUACAGCGACGCAGACUAGCAGCGACACCUCUCUCUAUUGUGCUUCUAUCUGUUCUGUGGAUCAAUUCAGAGUGUUGAUCGUUAUGGGUCGAUAAAAAAAUGUUCAGAAUCUGAUGCGUGGCAAUCAGAUGGUCAAAAAAGUGACGGUGUGUGACGAUCGGACGACCGGAUGAUCGGACGUCUUCUUCUUCAAGCUCCCAGCAUGCUGUACUCUCCAUCUAUUGUCUCUUUCGCACGGCGGGGUAGAGGGAGUUGAUCGAGGACCGCAGCGUCGGCCACCCAGGUACAAGCGCGUGGCGGCGACUGCGAUGCACAUCAGCCUACUGUUCUUCUACCGGUACACAGCGGCCAUGUGCCACCGCCGAGCCCUUCAUUGGCGUCCUCCUGGGACACCUCCAUGUAGCACCAAGGUUAAAAAAACACCCUGUUGUUGGUCCCUUUCAAUUGAAAUAUUCAUUUUACAUGCUCCGGUCAUAAGUUUGUGAUCUGCAAGGUUUAUAUGAAAAAGGAUUUCCAAUUAUGAUAAGUUGUAGCUUAUUGAUCCCAACUGUUAGACCAUGUGAGCUCACUGAUUUUGCCGUCUGAAUAUCUGUAGAGUGAAACAAACGUAGCAGUCGUAUGUCAUCUGCUUGCUGAGUUGCAUCAUUAGCCUGAGCAGAUAGCCAUCUUGCAUAUUGUUUGCCCCAAUAAUAUUUCUCAUUUUUUCUGAUGCAUCUUUUUCCCCCAUUGGAGUUAUGGUUAUCUUCUUACAUGGUUUACAUGUCAAUUUUGUAAACAAGGAACUGGUCAUAAUCAGCAAUCCUGAUUAGCUUAUGCUCAUUGCCUUGUAUCAAUUUUGAGUCUUAGUUUGUUCACCAUCAUCAAUAAGCGGGACCUUUCAUUUCUUCACAAAUGGGCCAACCCACCAAAUCGUUCAACUCAUCAACUCACAAAAUGCAUGACCAUCAAGCAAGCUAGCACAAGCUAUUUAACUAAAGAAAAGUCACUUUGUAAUGUGACUACAAAUUAGAUUACAGAGGGAAGUUUGCAAAUCACUAGCUCUGAAAGCAUAAAAUAUAUUUCAAUUUCUAGGCUGCUACAUUAUUUUGAAACAUGAGCUUUUUUAAAACUGAGUGUUUGACGUAGCUUGCUGUUAUUGUCAAACUGAAAUAGCGAGUAUAUAUAUGUUGCUUUUUGUUUAGGAAAGUGAAAAAAACAAGAUGCCAUUUGUAUGCCAGGAAUGGCAUAUGUGAACGACUCGGGUGGUAGUUUUUAGGGUGUGGCAAGGGGCAUUUUUUAUAAACUGCCAUGGCAGUUCUUUAAUUUAGUUCUAUUUUUUGAGAAACAGCCAUCCACAGGUUAUUGAUUGUGUGGUUCUGUGUGUGUUCACUGGGACCUCGUCACCAGCGAACGUUCGCCGGGUAUUGUUCAACAUGGCUCUUGAUAAUUUAAUGAUUCAAUCAAAUUUCAUUGCAAAGUACACUGGACCAGGCUUUCCUUCUUUCUAAUGCGGUCUUAGUUGGCAUUAAGUUGUGAAAUCCAAAUCCAUACAUUUACAGUUCCUUGUUGUUCUAAUUACACAAGUAUUUUCACAUAUUUUUUUGUUAACUAAUCUUCACACCGAACACCAUCUCAGUAACUAGACCUGAUAUAGUAGUUAGUUUUGGCAUUAGACACAACAACUUUGACAUCGAUAAUUUCCUCAUAUAUUUAGAGGACAAUAAACUUGUCUAGCAUUUCAUUAUGAGUUGCAGACUCUGAAAACAAAUGUAUGUGCCCCCUAAAUGAUUAAACAUGUGGUUUCUGAAUUAUGCAUGCUGACAUGCAUUGGCAAUCAUUAUUCAACAGUAUUCCUUUUCACUGAAAUAGUAACCAUGUAAUGCUUACGAUUUAAUCUGGUUAUCUAGACAACUAAAUGGGUUAAUGUUAUGUUUAAUUAGUAUCUUUUGGCAUAUGUAAUGCGUGGAAGGAAACCAGUGUCUUUUGAUUAGGGAUUUCUGGAGGUAACAUGCCUCUGACUGUAUGCACUGAAUUUCAGAUGCUCUGUUUAGAAGAUGUUUUCUUCAGUAGUACUACAUAUUUUUAUGAUUUCCUGUAACUUGCUGAUAUGGCACCGAUUUGCCGCAUGGUGUGCUACAACUACCCUCCAGGGGAAUAUUUGUUCAGAAUCUUCAGUCUUGUAAUUUUCUCCUUGAUGACAAUGACCAUGCUGUACUGGGGGAUAUGGGAUUCCAUCCUUGCUGUUUGGACUUCCGCUGCCAAAUCCAGAUCUUAUCCAAAGACUUGAGACUCCAAAUUACAUGCCCCAGAACAUUGGCGACCAAACAUCAGAGGCCCAAUUAGUUACGAGACUGACUCAUUGGGGUUUCGCUCGCAGCAUUCUUGAGAUGUUCAGUGGCGUUCAGACUUGGUGUGCCAAAUCACCAGAUGAGAUUUAUCAGUCAGUUGUCCUGAAGAAAGAGAAACCGAUGUUCCUAUACAAUUUACCUAUGGAGGUCGCUAAUGUCCUCUCUGGCUGCUAUGAGUAUGACUUUCGGGAUCACUCCUUGAUGUUAGAUAUCUUACAGUCAUUUGAAAGGUUGGAGGUGACACAUGAACGCUGGCAAUGCAAAAUAGCAGAUAUAAAAUAACUGCAGCUCAGGCCUUGUAGUUCUACAACAACCAAGGAAGAAGUCUGUUUUUUAAGCCGACCUCGGCCAAGCAAUUUAAGCUUAUAUGGGUGCUCUCUAUUUUUCAGAGGUGCGUGUACUGAGAACGCCUAUGAUUUAGGGCCAAAAAUCUAGACAAAGUGACAAAACUUUGUACGAGACUUACUUGAAGCCAGUGAUAGCCCGUUGAAGGAUGCCGAUUGUGGCUAUCCAACUACAACAACGUGCUUGCAACUCAUGAGUGGCAAAGUAUAACAUGCCGCCUUUAUUAAAGAAGCCCCUUCAAUUUAUGUAUGCAGAAUGCUGUAAAGAACUCAUGACAAAGCCAGAUCUGUAUGCAUGUCUUAAUGUAUUUUCAUACUGGCUCGAGUAAUGUACUCUUGCCCGCCCCACGACACCGCCUUUGUAGUGUAUUCUUGGUCGCGUGUUGCUCAAUUAGGUUAUUCUAUUUUCUUUUUCUUUUUUAUUCACAAUUGUUGGCAUGAAUUUGCCGUGCAUUUGGUCCUAUCAACAAUUUAAACCUGUCAAUCGAGAAAGGAUAUGCACAUCAUCAGUGCACUUCUAUUUAUUUUGAUUAUAAAUGAGUAGUUAAUUUGCUAAUUAAAGAUGUUUUCCUGUGGGUAUAUUCAUCUCAUUAGAAGGUUCUUUUAUGUGGCUUUGGUCUUUCUAAAUAUUGUGUGGGUUUUUUCCUUUCCUGGUUUAGCUUUGUGAAACAAUGAUUAUUCUAGCGCGUGAUCUACUCAUGCCUAUUUACCUUAUUGUAUAGUUUGUCAUUCUAGAACACUAGACCUUUCUCCACAGCUGAUAUGUUGAUAUGACAAGUUUAAUUUGCCUUUAGUCUUUGCAGAACUAAUUUUGCAUCCUAGGAAGGGGGCAAAAUGGUCUUGACCACCGGCAGACUCUUCUAACAUCUCACCGUCACUCCCACGGGUAGCGUUGUAAUCGAGUCCAGCAAUUCAACUUUUGAAAAUAACAUGUAGGCCGAACCAAGAGGGAAUAGUACAGUACUUCAUUUCACUCAGGAGAGCUUCGGUUAUAUGAAAAUUAAUUAAUUUUAAUAUGAAUUUCGAUAUUCAAUACCCACAUGAAUUGUAUAAGUUGCUUUGCUCGAGAUGUGCAUUGGACUGUAGUUUCAGGGAGCCCCGUCGCUUUCUUAUAGAAUUUUGUUCAGAUAUAAACAAAUAAACCUAGAUAUAGACAUGCAUCUCAAUCUCUUGUUUUAAAGUUAAACUGUUUGUAGAUACUUUUUGAUGUACCUUUCGAACCCAUAAACUCAAUGUUGUGCUUGUAGUGUUGGUUCUGGGUUUAGAAUCAAUUUAAUAUGUGGAUUGAUAUCCCACCAACCACAAAACGGAAUUUCUUCUUUGAUAUUCUGCUGGUUUUCUGGUUGAGGAUUUCCAACAAGAGUGAAUGUAUAAUCCAGCCAACCAACCCAAGAUGUUUACCAGCACCAUCACGAUGAUCUUUCUCAGCCUGCUCGACCCAAUCAGUCUUCUAAUAUUCAUCUCAUGGAGGGUCAAGAAAAAGACGUAAAACCAUAGCUUGCUACUUGGUUCCAGUUUCUGCAGCCACCAUUGAUAAGCAUGGGGCUGAGCAAAUGAGUAUCAAAGGCAAGUCAAGGAAACUUCGUCCUCUAGGCUGGUUGCGAUUUAGUUCUCUAGCAGCUUCAAUGCCAAGAUGAGGAGGUGGGAGAGGUGCCGCCCAAGGAGGUCAGGGGAGGAGGGCAACAAGGCUGGGGAGCGGAGGCGGAGGCUGACGAGGAAGAGAAUGAUCAAGCAUGUAAAUCUAGAGCACAAGCUCAUGAUUUAUCAAGGGAGUGGCGCUGCCGCCGGAGUAGAAAAUCAUAUCUCACAUUAAGGUGUUUUUGUCUUUUGUUUUUGUACAAAUUUGGUGCAGGCAAAAUUUUGAUGAUACAUAUAAGAUGACUAGCAUUAUCUUUUUAUUGAGUGCA